RNAcentral lists this long non-coding RNA (1620 nucleotides) under Prunus dulcis (almond). RNAcentral's name for it is "sRNA ncRNA". Lineage: Eukaryota; Viridiplantae; Streptophyta; Magnoliopsida; Rosales; Rosaceae. The record is from RNAcentral.
UUAAUGUCAUACUUAUACUUUUAUAACAGAUAAACUAUUCUAUAUGAUUUAAUAUUUAUUUUUUUAUUUUCAGGGGACAAUUUCACUCACUCAAUAAUGACGAGCUUAAAGAAAUGCCUGUUGGGUAAGUUCUUAAGAUUUUGUUUAUUUUUUGUUUUGUUUUUUUGGGUCAAAGUUAGGAAGAGAGAUGCAAUAUUCUCACACAUGCAUGAUGCACUAACAAGGUGCACAUGAGAUAACUGGUUUGCAAAUUAAAGUCAUUUCCUAUUGAACUACACCCGCUAACAACUUUUGUUUACUUUUUAUUUGGACUUUUUCUCUCUGUAGUUUUUACUAUUUCUUGUGUUUACGUUUGAGGAGAGAACAAUGAAACUAAACAUCAAUAGGGCUGUAUAUCAAGCUUGGGCUAAAGAAGAAUUAUUCCUCCAACUUUUCACAUAUCCACCAAGAAAUUAGUGCUUGGUUAAGUUCGGCAUAACUUCUGCAAGCCCAUAACCAUAAGGGCUGUAUAUCAAGGUGAACCACAUCAGGCUGCAAAAUGUAGCAACCCAAGCAAAAAGCCCAUCAUACCCAUCUCCAGACAUUGUUGUCUUGGGGUUUGAGAAAUGAAUAGAGGAAUCGGGGGUAGUGUGUUCUGAAAAUAAUAUGGUUGUAAUAUUUAUAGAAAUGGUGGUAUAAGAGAUAAGAAAUCUAUGGAUGAAAUUGAGAUGAAAGGAUUUGAUUCGAUGGUUGUUGUAAGAUGGUAAACCUUAUCAGAUGAAAUAGGGAUGUUAGAACAUAAUGAAUCAGACUCAUCUUCAGCUACUAUCGUUAUUAUCUGACGAAUGUAGAUGAGAUAUAAAUGGAAGACCAUAAUGAAUCAAACUUAUCUUAAAGUAUCACCGUUAUUGUCUAACUGAUAUAGAUGGGAUAAGAUGUUUUUUUUUUAUUAGAGUCAUGUGACACUUAUUUUUUUACUUUUAAAGUCUGAAAUAAAAUGUUGUUUUCGGAAUCUUGUCCAAUUGUUGAAAUGUUCAUAAGAAAACUAACACAUAAUAAGUUUACAAAACAAAAAAGUAUUUCAACCAAAUUAAAAUAUAGAAAAAUUUAGAUUCCCAAAUAUAGACUGCGCAUGUAUAUAUAGAAUAGAGCCUCCCAUUGUGGGAGAGAUACCUUUAAACCCUGAAAGAUUCCAUUGGAAGUCUACAAAGGGCUCCAUCUACCAUUUAACAGAGACUAACUACUCUUUCCAAAAUUGAUAAUCAUUUGAUUUAAUGGCAUUUAGUUUUCAUUGUGUCAAAGUAGAUUAUGAGUUCAAAUUUCAUGCAAGAGAACGUAAAAGUGUUGUUAAAUAAGUAUUGGUGACCUUAUAUAUGAUGAAAUUGUCAUCCAAUUUGAACAAAAAAUAAAUUGAGCAUGACAAUGGUUUUCCCCAAAAAAAUGGUUACACAAAUUAUGAACUCAAUCUUUUACAGGAAAGAAGAAUUGAGAUGUUUGAGAAGGACUGAUCUCGUUGAUAUUUUGGCAAAUAGUUUGCCACGUAACACUCUUCAUUUGGGGUGUGAAGUGCUUUCUAUUAAGUUGGAUCCCAUAACUUCUUCUCCUGUUCUUCAACUUCAAGGUGGAAGACUUUUGAACGCC